This 1019-nucleotide ribosomal RNA is filed under the name uncultured archaeon. RNAcentral describes it as "bacterial SSU rRNA". It matches the Rfam family "Archaeal small subunit ribosomal RNA", at positions 1 to 999 of the family's 1478-position model. The record is from RNAcentral.
UCCGGUUGAUCCUGCCGGACCCGACUGCUAUCGGAGUGGGGCUAAGCCAUGCGAGUCGUACGCUUCUUGACUGCAAGAGGCGUGGCGAACGGCUCAGUAACACGUAGCUAACUUAACCUAGAGACGUGGAUAACCCCGGGAGACUGGGACUAAUCCGCGAUAGAUCAAGGCUCCUGGAAUGGGCUUUGGUCGAAAGGGAUGGACAAGCAUGUUUUGUCCAUCUGCUCUAGGAUAGGGCUGCGGCCGAUCAGGUUGUUGGUGGGGUAAUGGCCCACCAAGCCUAUAACCGGUACGGGCUUUGAGAGAAGGAGCCCGGAGAUGGACACUGAGACAAGGGUCCAGGCCCUACGGGGCGCAGCAGGCGCGAAACCUUCGCAAUACGCGAAAGCGUGACGAGGUCACUCCGAGUGCCACUCGCUGAGGGUGGCUUUUCCCAAGUCUAAAAAGCUUGGGGAAUAAGGGGAGGGUAAGUCUGGUGUCAGCCGCCGCGGUAAUACCAGCUCCCCGAGUGGUCGGGACGUUUAUUGGGCCUAAAGCAUCCGUAGCCGGUCUUGUAGGUCUUCUGUUAAACCCAACGGCCCAACCGUUGGACUGCAGAAGAUACCGCAGGACUAGGAGGCGGGAGAGGCGGACGGUACUCCAUGGGUAGGGGUAAAAUCCUUUGAUCCAUGGAAGACCACCAGCGGCGAAGGCGGUCCGCCAGAACGCGCUCGACGGUGAGGGAUGAAAGCUGGGGGAGCGAACCGGAUUAGAUACCCGGGUAGUCCCAGCUGUAAACGAUGCGGGCUAGGUGUUGACACGGCUACAAGCCGUGUCAGUGCCGCAGGGAAGCCGUUAAGCCCGCCGCCUGGGGAGUACGGCCGCAAGGCUGAAACUUAAAGGAAUUGGCGGGGGAGCACCACAAGGGGUGAAGCUUGCGGUUUAAUUGGAGUCAACGCCGGAAACCUUACCGGGGGCGACAGCAGAGUGAAGGCCAGAUUAAAGGUCUUGCCAGACAAGCUGAGAGGUGGUGCAUGGCC